This 1056-nucleotide long non-coding RNA is filed under the name Heterocephalus glaber (naked mole-rat). RNAcentral describes it as "lncRNA (ENSHGLG00100051182.1)". The record is from RNAcentral. Lineage: Eukaryota; Metazoa; Chordata; Mammalia; Rodentia; Bathyergidae.
GACGAGAGGAACGCGACCUGGAAACCAGUUUCCUUCUCCUUUUUGUGGGGUCCUCUCCUCAGCCACCCGAACCAAGUCCGAAUUUCCUUCCUGAUCAGAGAAGGCGGAGCAAAAGAGAGACCCUGGUUUGUGGCACGUACACACCUCCUUCUCGUACGGAGCCAGCCCCACUACCCCCUCCUCUGCCUCGGCCCCCGGAUUAGGUUACCGUGGUCGGGCAAGGAUUUUUACUGGAUACGAGAAUAACACAGCUGAAAUGCAGAGUAGGGAGCGGAAUCACAGCGUGAUGAGAACCCCAGUGCUGGCUGAGGACCCCAGCUCAGCAAGUUUGACCCUUUUAAAAUAAAACACAGCGAGCAAGGACUUUGGGGAUAUGGAGAAAAAAAAGGCACCCAAAACUCACUCUCAACGGGAAGAUGCGGGAAGUGAACGCGUCCAAGGAGAGAACCCGUAGGAACUGCUACGAAAAGAGCUAUGUAUACUCGCCUUUUCUCCCGGCUCCCACGCCCAACCUCACGGGCCUGGGGUCUUCCCCCCCCCCCCCCGUGUGGAAUGAGCCACCUCUUUGGCAGUGAAAUGUGGUUUGAUUUACCCUUUUCUCUUUGUUUUUUGCUUAUUCAUCUGUCACUGCUUAAAACUCGGAAGGAAACCCGCCCAGGCCAGGAGGAGCGGAGAGCUAUGUGGAGAGUCAAAGAGAGAAGAGAUGCGCUCGGAGAUUACCCAUUCGCACUCCGCCCCCAGCCCCAGCCGCGGCGGGGGUCCCCGGUUUCGAGGGAUGCUGUCCCUCCCUCCGCCCCUACCACCUUAUUCCCAGGCUGAGAAAACCUCUGAUAGUAGCAAGAUAAAAAUUGGAUAGGUAGGGAUGUAGCAGAACUGGGGAGCUGGACCUGGAGAAGACAGGGGAUUUCUGCUUCAGGGUUUAACAAUGCUCACGUGAAAGGGCGGGGGAGGGGGCGGGGUUGGGUAGGAAAGAGCUCCCCUAGAGGGUGGGUUGAAAGGAAUCCCAGUCACCCGGAGCAAGGUCGCACCUCCCUGCUCUCCCUCCUGUCUGUGUAG